RNAcentral lists this transfer RNA (99 nucleotides) under Neisseria dentiae. Its description in RNAcentral is "tRNA-Gln(ttg)". The record is from RNAcentral. Lineage: Bacteria; Pseudomonadati; Pseudomonadota; Betaproteobacteria; Neisseriales; Neisseriaceae.
GGCCGUCUGAAACGGUUCGGCAUGGUUUCAGACGGCCUUUGGCGCGGUUUGUUUGUUAUUUAAAACGUGAAGUUUGUUCAGCUUUCAAGCGGCGGUUCC